This 324-nucleotide ribosomal RNA is filed under the name uncultured eukaryote. RNAcentral's name for it is "partial 18S ribosomal RNA". It matches the Rfam family "Eukaryotic small subunit ribosomal RNA", at positions 1470 to 1796 of the family's 1831-position model. The record is from RNAcentral.
CCCUUAGAUGCUCUGGGCCGCACGCGCGCUACACUGGUCGAUGCAACGAGUUUCUUUCCUUGGCCGACAGGCCUGGGCAAUCUUUGAACAUCGAUCGUGAUCGGGAUAGAUUCUUGUAAUUUUUGAUCUUAAACGAGGAAUUCCUAGUAAACGCAAGUCGUCAGCUUGCAUUGAUUACGUCCCUGCCCUUUGUACACACCGCCCGUCGCACCUACCGAUUGAAUGGUCCGGUGAAAUCUCCGGACUGGCGUGAGUCGGAGCAAUCUGACAAACACCGGAAAGUUGAUUAAACCUUACCAUUUAGAGGAAGGUGAAGUCGUAACA